This 446-nucleotide ribosomal RNA is filed under the name uncultured bacterium. RNAcentral's name for it is "partial 16S ribosomal RNA". It matches the Rfam family "Bacterial small subunit ribosomal RNA", at positions 29 to 523 of the family's 1533-position model. The record is from RNAcentral.
AACGAACGCUGGCGGCAUGCCUAACACAUGCAAGUCGAACGAAGCCUUCGGGCUUAGUGGCACACGGGUGCGUAACGCGUGGGAAUCUGCCCUUUGGUUCGGAAUAACAGUUGGAAACGACUGCUAAUACCGGAUGAUGACGAAAGUCCAAAGAUUUAUCGCCAGAGGAUGAGCCCGCGUAGGAUAGCUAGUUGGUGUGGUAAAGGCGCACCAAGGCGACGAUCCUUAGCUGGUCUGAGAGGAUGAUCAGCCACACUGGGACUGAGACACGGCCCAGACUCCUACGGGAGGCAGCAGUGGGGAAUAUUGGACAAUGGGCGAAAGCCUGAUCCAGCAAUGCCGCGAGUGAUGAAGGCCCUAGGGUUGUAAAGCUCUUUUACCCGGGAUGAUAAUGACAGUACCGGGAGAAUAAGCCCCGGCUAACUCCGUGCCAGCAGCCGCAGUAA